This is a transfer RNA of Felis catus (domestic cat), 85 nucleotides long. It matches the Rfam family "tRNA". From Rfam's summary of the family: Transfer RNA (tRNA) molecules are approximately 80 nucleotides in length. Lineage: Eukaryota; Metazoa; Chordata; Mammalia; Carnivora; Felidae. The record is from Rfam.
GCCUGGGUGGCUCAGUCGGUUGAGCGUCUGACUUCAGCUCAGGUCACGAUCUCAUGGCUUGUGAGUUUGAGCCCCGCAUCGGGCU